AAACAAAAUGACAGAUUUAAUGUGAUAAAUUGUAAAUUUAUUUAUGAUUCUAUAUUCUUUUGUUUUUU
RNAcentral lists this transfer RNA (68 nucleotides) under Varroa destructor (honeybee mite). Its description in RNAcentral is "tRNA-Tyr". Lineage: Eukaryota; Metazoa; Arthropoda; Arachnida; Mesostigmata; Varroidae. The record is from RNAcentral.